CAGGGAAUCAGCAGCAAGCAGGGCACACGCAGCAGAGAGACAGAGAGAGAGGGAGGAAGAGACAGGGAGAGUGUGAGUAGGAUUUCUGCGCUUUAUGACCAAAACCUCACAAUACUUCCCACUCUAGCUAUUCCUCCCUUUCUUCUCUGUGCUCUGAGACAGAGAAACCUCCUCUGGUUGUCUGUAUUUCUUGCUCCAGGCCAGUGCUGACUACUACUGAGGAGAAGAUAGCUGAGGCAGAGGCAGCUCCAGGAGGAUCUGCUGCCUGGUCUGCAUCUCCAGCCUCCACCUCCUCUCCCCCUGCGGAAGGCCGGGUUAGUCCGACAGGAUGGGCUGCACCACUGGCAAACUGGCCUGCCAGACUCCACCCCAGCCCCCAGGAGCCCCGGCCCCUGGACAAGACAAUCAGGCCCUGAGCCAGCUGGAAGCUCAGGGGCCCAAAGUCCCGGAGGUCCUAUCCAGUCUGGAGCGCCUUUCCCAGGCCACGGGCGGCAUGGAGAAGUCCUGGUAUCGCUGCAUCUUCCCCUUUGGCAUCAUCUCAUUGGUGAUCGGUGUGUCGGGCACGGCUGUUACUUACACAUACAACGACCUGCCCCUGACCAAAGUGGUGACGGUAGUGUUGCUUAUAGCCGGCCUGGUGCUGACACUGACCGCCGCCGCCUGCUGGACGGUCCACAAGAGAAAGAAGAGGAAAAUGAAAGAGAGGGCCUCAGGAGCCGGAGGAGGAGGAGGAGGAGGGAGCUCCUUUACCUCAGAGCAGUGCCCUUUGUGAGGAACGCCUGGAGCCUGGGAUAUUCUGACCACACAGGGACAUGAGAGAGGAGAGAAGCCCCAGGAAGGGAGUACCGCCAGGGGGCUGGGCUAGCCACCACCACCAGCCCUCCCUAGUCUUUAUGGAGCCUGGCUGCUCUUGGCUCAGCUCAGAGCUUGGGAAGAGGUGUGGAGAGGAGGACAAGGACUCAGGAAGAGGUGUGGAGAGGAGGAAGACAAGGACUCAGGAAGAGGUGUGGAGAGGAGGAGGACAAGGACUCAGGAAGAGGUGUGGAGAGGAGGAGGACAAGGACUCAGGAAGAGGUGUGGCAAGAAGGAGGGUGAGGACUCAGGAAGAGGUGUGGAGAGGACGAGGACGAGGACACAGGAAGUGGUGUGGAGAGGAGGAGGAUGAGGACUCAGGAAGAGGUGUGGCGAGGAUGAGGGCUAAGGGUUCACGGACAGACAGACAGGCGGAGGAAGUACCUGGGGAAAGGCACAGGGAGAGAGACAGAGGGAGAGAGACAGAGGGAGAGAGACAGAGGGAGAGAGACAGAGAUAGAGAGACAGAGAGAGAGAGAGACAGAGAGAGAGAGAGACAGAGGGAGAGAGACAGAGAGAGAGAGAGAGAGAGACAGAGGGAGAGAGACACAGAGAGAGAGAGACACAGGGAGAGAGAAACGGAUGGUUCUGGCAUGCGGGUUCACCACCUCCUCCACACACGCGCUUCUACCGUCGGACAGCAGGUGUCCAGUGUCAAAACAACCUCUCAGGAGACACACAGGCUCCCUGAGACCCCCUCACACACAUUGACACACACAGCGGGAGCCUCACACAGACACUUCAUCCGCUAUGCCGAGCUGCUGCCGGAGUCAGUGCUGCCGUCACCGGCCGCGUCAGUCGCAGCAUUCCUCCCAGCCAGGACAGGUGACAGGCCGUCCGACUGGUGAAAAGUGGGCCAGCGACGGCAACUCGACACCGGGCCGAAAGAGGAGUGCACCCGCGUCGGUGCCCCGCGUCAUUCACUCGUCCUGUGACACUGCAGCAAUGUGUUGGGGCUUUUGUUACGCAACGGGAGAGUGGAACCUGAGUCCACCAGGAUCUUACUGGCAGCUGGUGGUAGAGGGACGAGGAGAGGAGCAGGAGAGGGCAGGAAAAUUGUGUGUUUAUAUGUGUGAGUGUAUUUGUGUAUGUGUGUGUGUAUAUGUGUGUGUAUAUGUAUGUGUGUGUGUGCAAGAAAGACAUUCUGCUGGACCGAAAGAGUAUGUACAGAACCUGUGGACUUUUUCCAGUGUAAGAACACAAGAACUAAUGUAUGGAACAAAGAAAUCACACAUCUACACUAUUACACUAGACCAGAGUGACCAGUCCCUUCAGUAUUACAGUAGUAGGUCAGUCUAAAAGACUACUAUUCUAGACUGUGGAAUACAGACCAAGGAGGAGAAUAUUCCACAUGUCAUAAAGGCUAUAAAGGCCCAAAGGAAACAAUGUCUCUCUGCCUCAGCUAUUGGUAACACAGAAUUCAGAGUUUUUAGGUCCAGCACCGGUGUUAAUCCUGUCAGUGGAAAAGGGACGUGAAGGCAUUUUCCCCCCUGUUUUCUCCAUGCAGCCAUUCUGGGAGUGGAGAGUGGAGUGGAGUGGAGAGUGGAGUGGAGAGAGCUGAGUGAGGGACUGCACUGCACACCUGAUACGCUGUAGUGUGACUAUGAGCAUUGACCUCUGUCAGUUUCUCUGCAGUCGUACGACCUCAGCUCCUCUCUCACAGAGAGAGAGCAAGAGAGAGCGAGCAGGGGACAGGACGGGAUAAAUGAAGGACAUUACUGCUGAGGGGACAUUCCACCGAGGGAGACUUUGACUUGGUGACACUCCACUCUGAGGGACCCCUCCCGUCCCCUUUUCAGUGCCUUGAGCGAGUGGAGCAGAGAACUGGAGAGCUGGAUCAUGGAAAAAGGCUCUGACUUGUGUGUUACCCGUUUCCAUCUGCUUUUCUGCUCUUUGGAGAAUUUCCCCCUCUCUCUCCUCCCUCUCUCUCCUCCUCUUUCUCCUCCUCUCCCUCUCCCUCCUCUCUUUCCUCCUCUCCCUCUCCUCUCUCUCCCUCUCUCUUCUCCUCUCCCUCUUCUCCCUCUCUCUCCUCCUCUCCCUCUCCUUCCUCUCUUUCCUCCUCUCCCUCUCCUCUCUCUCUCCUCCCUCUCUCUUCUCCUCUCCCUCUUCUCCCUCUCUCUCCUCCUCUCCCUCUCCUCCCUCUCUCUCCUCCCUCUCUCUCCUCCU
This 3018-nucleotide long non-coding RNA is filed under the name Salmo salar (Atlantic salmon). RNAcentral's name for it is "lncRNA (ENSSSAG00000118526.1)". Lineage: Eukaryota; Metazoa; Chordata; Actinopteri; Salmoniformes; Salmonidae. The record is from RNAcentral.